Molecule: ribosomal RNA, 590 nt
Filed under: uncultured bacterium
Lineage: Bacteria
Description: partial 16S ribosomal RNA
Rfam family: Bacterial small subunit ribosomal RNA
Source: RNAcentral
UGGGGAAUUUUGGACAAUGGGCGAAAGCCUGAUCCAGCAAUGCCGCGUGUGUGAAGAAGGCCUUUGGGUUGUAAAGCACUUUUAUCAGGAGCGAAACGCUGUCGGCUAAUACCCGGCGGAACUGACGGUACCUGAGGAAUAAGCACCGGCUAACUUCGUGCCAGCAGCCGCGGUAAUACGAAGGGUGCAAGCGUUAAUCGGAAUUACUGGGCGUAAAGCGUGCGUAGGCGGUUUCUUAAGUCUGCUGUGAAAUCCCCGGGCUCAACCUGGGAAUGGCAGUGGAUACUGGGAGGCUAGAGUGUGUCAGAGGGUGGUGGAAUUCCCGGUGUAGCGGUGAAAUGCGUAGAGAUCGGGAGGAACAUCAGUGGCGAAGGCGGCCACCUGGGACAACACUGACGCUGAGGCACGAAAGCGUGGGGAGCAAACAGGAUUAGAUACCCUGGUAGUCCACGCCCUAAACGAUGCGAACUGGAUGUUGGUCUCAACUCGGAGAUCAGUGUCGAAGCUAACGCGUUAAGUUCGCCGCCUGGGGAGUACGGUCGCAAGACUGGAAACUCAAAUGAAUUGACGGGGGUCAUAGCUGUUUCCUG